UAUAUAUAUAUAUAUAUAUAAACAUCAUACAAAUUCAAAAUUAAAUAUACAAAUUUAUACAAAAAUUUAAAUAGAAACAUUUUGGGUGACAUUGUUAUUACUAAAUAGAUUUUUUUAAAUACAAUACUCUAAUUGGAAGUGGUGAUAAUAUGAUGCUAUAAUAGAUAAAUUAAUAAAAGUACAUUGCUAUUUUCUCAUUUACACAUCACCACAAGUAUAAUAACCUUGUCUAAUAAUUACGUGUGUUUCCAAAUCACUAAGGAAGCUCAUUGAAAACAUCCCUAUACAACCCAUAAAUCAUUGCAGCCAUGUGACGUUCAUUCAACAAAAUGGAGGUAUUUUCUUGCCUUCACAAAGUUUAUUUCUUCCCUGUAACGGGAAAAAUAUUCAUUCACCAAAAACUAAAAACAAGGCACCAAAAGUUAAAUUCAACACUAAACGCAUGAGAAAAUUCCACAAAAUUAAACAAUAAGCAUAAGAACAUCUCAUGUCAUAUGCAAAUUUGUAACCAAACAUCAUUACAAUGGACUAUUUAUUGAGAGUUAUAUUACCAUAAACCAAUUGUUCAUUAAAUUUCUUGCAACUAUGAAGUAAUUUUGUAUUCUUUGAUCAAAAACUUUAACUUGCAGCUAUAAUGGAAUCAAGCUUCUAGCAAGCAUGUGCAUAAGAAUAGAGUAGAACAAACAAGGAAUCACAAUGGUGAUGUCGCUGUUGAGCUACAUUAUAGUGAUAUUAGUCAAAAGGGGAGCCUGUCAUCAUUUGUAAUGUUCUUGAAACCAUCGAUUCAAAACAUCACAGAAAACCCAAAAUAUGAACAUUUAAAAACUUUGAUUAUUAAAUCGAUUUUAGAUUUCACAUCAGGAGAACAAUUCGAUUUCAAGAAUGUGGAGUGAUUUUAGAAACUUUAUACCUGACCAAUGAAGAGGAUCAGAGAUCGCCUAGUGGAGACCAACGUUGUCGAGGGCGAAACCAGCGCUGGAGAGGGCGGCGCUUUUGAGUGUGGCACCAGCGAUGUCAGAGCUUGGCGGAGACCGAUUUCGGUUUUUGAUUUUCAACUUUAGGGCAUAGAAAAUGUUGGGAAGGCUGCUGAGACGAAACAAACGGGGAGAGGAGGCUGCUGGGACGUUGACGAUCGGUUGGGCGGUGGCGUCGGCGACGGGAACCAGGCGAAGGGAAGCAGACGCGAACCGGGGAAGAAAACACAGGAGGAAAACACUAGAAUAGGAGAAGAGGAUUCGGGUUAUGUUCGACCGUGUGGUUCAGGGCAAAACAAGAUGUACAUUUUUUUUUAAUUCAGACUUUGUUCCCUAUCUGAAAAAUUAAGAGGUCUUUUUGAUUUGAAGAGGUAAAAAUUAAG
This 1357-nucleotide long non-coding RNA is filed under the name Lactuca sativa (garden lettuce). Its description in RNAcentral is "long non-coding RNA (LSAT_LNC008040)". The record is from RNAcentral. Lineage: Eukaryota; Viridiplantae; Streptophyta; Magnoliopsida; Asterales; Asteraceae.